AGGUCUUAGGAUUGUAAAAUUCUUUCACCGGGGACGAUAAUGACGGUACCCGGAGAAGAAGCCCCGGCUAACUUCGUGCCAGCAGCCGCGGUAAUACGAAGGGGGCUAGCGUUGCUCGGAAUUACUGGGCGUAAAGGGAGCGUAGGCGGACAUUUAAGUCAGGGGUGAAAUCCCGGGGCUCAACCUCGGAAUUGCCUUUGAUACUGGGUGUCUUGAGUAUGAGAGAGGUGUGUGGAACUCCGAGUGUAGAGGUGAAAUUCGUAGAUAUUCGGAAGAACAC
Molecule: ribosomal RNA, 280 nt
Filed under: uncultured Brevundimonas sp.
Lineage: Bacteria; Pseudomonadati; Pseudomonadota; Alphaproteobacteria; Caulobacterales; Caulobacteraceae
Description: partial 16S ribosomal RNA
Rfam family: Bacterial small subunit ribosomal RNA
Source: RNAcentral